RNAcentral lists this ribosomal RNA (274 nucleotides) under uncultured bacterium. RNAcentral's name for it is "partial 16S ribosomal RNA". It matches the Rfam family "Bacterial small subunit ribosomal RNA", at positions 355 to 621 of the family's 1533-position model. The record is from RNAcentral.
UGGGGAAUAUUGCACAAUGGGCGCAAGCCUGAUGCAGCCAUGCCGCGUGUGUGAAGAAGGCCUUCGGGUUGUAAAGCACUUUCAGCGAGGAGGAAGGGUUCAGUGUUAAUAGCACUGUUCAUUGACGUUACUCGCAGAAGAAGCACCGGCUAACUCCGUGCCAGCAGCCGCGGUAAUACGGAGGGUGCAAGCGUUAAUCGGAAUUACUGGGCGUAAAGCGCACGCAGGCGGUUUGUUAAGUCAGAUGUGAAAUCCCCGCGCUUAACGUGGAACU